AUAAUUCAACAGUACAAUCCUGCACAUAUGCCCCUUUCUAUGUAGACUUACAUGUAAGCAAGUCUCACAUGGGCCUAGCUUUAUAGGUAAGUGGCCCUUAAACAGCAGCAUCUCCGUGUGAUUGAAGAUCAGGAGGCCCAUGGAAGUCCAAGAUAAAGAUGAAAAAGAGCUCUUCUGGUGUCUACAGCUGAUUAUUUCUACAGGAAGAACAUGGAAGUUUAUUUCUUAUGCUCCCGAAGACAAACACUCUUUAAAGAGGCUCAUCGACAAGGACAUGUAUUAUGAGCCAGACACCCCAGCAACCAGAGGUUUAUCCCUAAAUUGAAACAUGACACUCUUGAAAUGUUUAGCUCAAAAAAGAAAGGAGGAAAAAAACAAAAGGGAAGAAAAAGGGAAAAGUCACCAGAUCCACUAUGAGCAGUAAAAGCUGAUCGUCGAUCCUGUGGUGCAGACGCCGAGGAGACCCCUCUAAGGUGACACCUGUGGGAGUCUGGCCGUGACUGUCUGCUCCAUGUCUGCUUGUCGGAGAACAGUGAGGGCACUUGUUAGUCCUCUUACAAGCUCACCUGUGACCACUCAGCUGGAGACAACAGACUGCCACCCUGCUGUGUUCACUGAGACAGAAGACCUACCUGCUGUUUCCAUCAAUGCUGUGCCGACAGAGCAGUCUCGCGACUAUUGUAAAAGGGACAUUUCAAUCCUAUGUGAAACAUUCUCUCUGGGGGUAUAUAACCAGUCUGUGCACCCCACUUCUUUGGUGUCCUUUCUUCCUUCGGGAAGAAAGGCCCCGGGUUAUAAUCCUCAGAUUUAAGCUCAGAAUAAACUCACCCAAAUUUUCAUUUAUAGAUUGGUUAUGGAUUAUUUUCGUCG
This 870-nucleotide long non-coding RNA is filed under the name Equus caballus (horse). RNAcentral's name for it is "lncRNA (ENSECAG00000058770.1)". The record is from RNAcentral. Lineage: Eukaryota; Metazoa; Chordata; Mammalia; Perissodactyla; Equidae.